GAUGAACGCUGGCGGCGUGCCUAAUACAUGCAAGUCGAGCGAACAGACGAGGAGCUUGCUCCUCUGACGUUAGCGGCGGACGGGUGAGUAACACGUGGAUAACCUACCUAUAAGACUGGGAUAACUUCGGGAAACCGGAGCUAAUACCGGAUAAUAUAUGGAACCGCAUGGUUCAAUAGUGAAAGACGGGUUUGCUGUCACUUAUAGAUGGAUCCGCGCCGCAUUAGCUAGUUGGUAAGGUAACGGCUUACCAAGGCAACGAUGCGUAGCCGACCUGAGAGGGUGAUCGGCCACACUGGAACUGAGACACGGUCCAGACUCCUACGGGAGGCAGCAGUAGGGAAUCUUCCGCAAUGGGCGAAAGCCUGACGGAGCAACGCCGCGUGAGUGAUGAAGGUCUUCGGAUCGUAAAACUCUGUUAUUAGGGAAGAACAAAUGUGUAAGUAACUAUGCACGUCUUGACGGUACCUAAUCAGAAAGCCACGGCUAACUACGUG
RNAcentral lists this ribosomal RNA (497 nucleotides) under uncultured bacterium. RNAcentral's name for it is "partial 16S ribosomal RNA". It matches the Rfam family "Bacterial small subunit ribosomal RNA", at positions 28 to 507 of the family's 1533-position model. The record is from RNAcentral.